CUACGUAGGGAGCAAACGUUGUCCGGAUUUAUUGGGCGUAAAGGGCUCGUAGGCGGUUCAACAAGUCGGUCGUGAAAGCCCGGGGCUUAACCCCGGGACGCCGGUCGAAACUGUUGUGACUAGAGUUCGGUAGAGGUGAGUGGAAUUCUCGGUGUAGCGGUGGAAUGCGCAGAUAUCGAGAGGAACACCAUUAGCGAAGGCGGCUCACUGGGCCGAUACUGACGCUGAGGAGCGAAAGCGUGGGGAGCAAACAGGAUUAGAAACCCCAGUAGUCC
This 275-nucleotide ribosomal RNA is filed under the name uncultured bacterium. RNAcentral describes it as "partial 16S ribosomal RNA". It matches the Rfam family "Bacterial small subunit ribosomal RNA", at positions 523 to 796 of the family's 1533-position model. The record is from RNAcentral.